UACGUAGGGACCGAGCGUUGUCCGGAUUCAUUGGGCGUAAAGAGCUCGUAGGCGGCUGUUCAAGUCGAAUCGUGAAAACUCGGAGCUCAACUCCGAGCCUGCGUUCGAUACUGGAUGGCUAGAGUCUGGUAGGGGGAUCUGGAAUUCCUGGUGUAGCGGUGGAAUGCGCAGAUAUCAGGAGGAACACCGGCGGCGAAGGCGGGAUCCUGGGCCAGUACUGACGCUGAGGAGCGAAAGCGUGGGGAGCAACAGG
RNAcentral lists this ribosomal RNA (253 nucleotides) under uncultured bacterium. RNAcentral's name for it is "partial 16S ribosomal RNA". It matches the Rfam family "Bacterial small subunit ribosomal RNA", at positions 524 to 775 of the family's 1533-position model. The record is from RNAcentral.